UAUCAAAAAGAAUGCAUUGGAUGGAUGCCUAGGCAUUGAGAAGGACGGACGCUUUCAAAGGCGAAACGCCGUGGGGAGAUAUCGUCUGUGAUCCAUGGGUCUCCGAUCGGGAAACCGUAUCCAGGCAAAAGCGGCGCAUUAGUGCGCUGCGCCUCGGACUUUCAUAACUUAGCGAACUGAAACAUCUAAGUAGCUAAAGGAAGGGAAAUCAACCGAGACUCCGUUAGUAGCGGCGAGCGAAAGCGGAUUAGGCUUCUCCUUCCAUUCAAUUUGCUGAGAAUUGAAUGAUGGAAGAACCAUUAAAGGAAUUGUGAAAAAGAUUGGAAGAUCUUGCCAAAGAAGGCGAUAGCCCUGUAACACAUUUUUCCAUUGGUUUUAUCAAAUUAAGUAAAACGCGGAUACCGUGUUCGAAUUUUGAUCGCUUCUACGCGACCAAGGGGGACCACCCUCUAAGCCUAAGUAUUCCUCAAUGACCGAUAGCGUACAAGUACCGUGAGGGAAAGGUGAAAAGAACCCUAGGAAAGGGAGUGAAAUAGAAAACCUGAAAUCCGAUGCAAACAAUCAGUCGAAGGAAGCUGGCUAAGUAUAGAAAACUUUCCACUCUAACGGCGUACCUUUUGCAUAAUGGGUCGGCGAGUAAAUGGAAACAGCGAGCUUGAGCCAUUAGGUGUAGGCGCAAUGAGGUUGAAUAUUCUAGUUGUUUCUAUUCGACCCGAAAAAAAUCGAGCUAUCCAUGAGCAGGUCGAAGGGGGCCUAAUCGGGCCUUGGAGGACCGAACCCACGCCUGUGGCAAAAGGCGGGGAUGACUUGUGGAUAGGGGUGAAAGGCCGUGCGACUUGAAGGACAUUAGACAAUGCAAAUGGCCCUGUGGGUGGAGCAACGCCUCUCCCUAGGUCCUCCGCCGGACCUUGGGCCUCAGGGCUACUGCCAUCCUAGCCGACGGGGUGCUCCUACUUCACCAUGCCCUCCCGGUAACGGGUAGGUAUGAAGCGUGGAGAACAAUGCAAGGAGUGUAUGUUACAGCAUAUAACCUGCUAGGAGUAACAAGACUACAGAUCAACGCAAGUGAACUGUGCGACGACACUUCGUAAAUAACCCGAGCGGGCCUACAGUUUGGCCCCGGGAUGUGAUUUGGGGCACGAUGGGCCUUUGCGUGCCUCGAUCGGCAAAAGAUCACUGGAGUAUAGCACAGGAUCGUGAAAUCUUGUAAUUAAUAGAGUCGACAUGUCAACAAGGUAAACCCAACGGGCUCCCUUUCGGUCGGGAGGUUUGGUUGUGAGAUUAGAUACCGCCCAGUGGGCAGAAGACGAUACAAAAGGCGAGAGGGUGUCACAGGAGGUUGAAUAGGCAACAUAUGCCGACACCCAGUGCUAACUUGUAUCGUGGGUGACAAAACCCAUGGGGAACGCUGGAACCGAAAGUUCUGGGCAACACAGGUUGCCUAGGCCUGUACUUCCCCUUUGUCAUUUGAGCCGUAUGCGGGGAAACUUGCACGUGCGGUUCUUAGGGGGGGAAAGACACAAAAGUCCUACCUAUCCAACUAAUCAGGAUUUUAUAUAGCUGGUACUCCGCGAAAUCUAUUGAGGUAGAGCGUAUCGAAGUAAAUGGCCUGAGGUAGAGCACUCGAUGGGCUAGGGUGGCCCAAAGCUUGACCAACCCCAAGGAAACUCCGAAUGCAGGCCAUUGAGUUUGUACAGACAGACUUUGGGCGCUAAGGUCCAAAGUCGAGAGGGAAACAGCCCAGAUCGUACGCUAAGGUCCUUAAGCAAUCACUUAGUGGAAAAGGAAGUUGUUGAGCGAUGACAACCAGGAGGUGGGCUUGGAAGCAGCCAUCCUUUGAAGAAAGCGUAAUAGCUCACUGGUCUAGCUCAAUUGCACCGAAAAUGUAUCGGGGCUCAAGUGAUUCACCGAAGCGACGAGACCUUGAAAGCAUGCAUCCUUGCGAAGGAAGCUUUUUCAAGUGUCGGUAGCGGAGCGUUCUGUAAAUCGUCGAAGGUUGCUGAUAACAACAACUGGAGAUAUCCGAAGUGAUUAUGCUGACAUGAGUAACAAUGAAUCAUGUGAAAAACAUGAUCGCCGAAAGUUCAAGGGUUUCUGCGUUCAGUCAAUCUACGCAGAGUGAAUCGGUCCCUAAGGAACCCCCGAAAGGGCUUAGUUCGAUGGGUACACGAAAGUGACGAAGUUGCUUUGACUAUUGAACAAAAAAAAUGGAUUUUUUGCGUGUUUGUUAAACUCGUGAAUUGGAUGAUUGGGCAGGCCAAAGGACUUCCAAGAAAGAACUUCGUGA
RNAcentral lists this ribosomal RNA (2287 nucleotides) under Pallavicinia lyellii. The record is from RNAcentral. Lineage: Eukaryota; Viridiplantae; Streptophyta; Jungermanniopsida; Pallaviciniales; Pallaviciniaceae.